Molecule: ribosomal RNA, 426 nt
Filed under: uncultured bacterium
Lineage: Bacteria
Description: bacterial SSU rRNA
Rfam family: Bacterial small subunit ribosomal RNA
Source: RNAcentral
GUGAGGAAUAUUGCACAAUGGGCGCAAGCCUGAUGCAGCAACGCCGCGUGGGUGAAGAAGGUUUUCGGAUCGUAAAGCCCUUUUCUUGGUGACGAGCAAGGACGGUAGCCAAGGAAUAAGUGUCGGCUAACUACGUGCCAGCAGCCGCGGUAAAACGUAGGACGCAAGCGUUAUCCGGAAUUACUGGGCGUAAAGCGCGCGCAGGCGGGCUGACAAGUCAUGCGUGAAAGCUCCCGGCUAAACUGGGAGAGGACGGAUGAAACUGUUAGUCUUGAGAGUGGCAGAGGCGUGUGGAAUUCCGCGUGUAGUGGUGAAAUGCGUAGAGAUGCGGAGGAACACCAGAGGCGAAGGCGGCACGCUGGGUCACAACUGACGCUGAGGCGCGAAAGCAUGGGUAGCGAACGGGAUUAGAAACCCUGGUAGUCC